AUUUUCAUCGGACAGUUUUAAUAAUUUUGAACUCAUGAACUUUUUCCAUAAAAUUGAAUGACAUGUGCUUGCAACCAAUUAUUUAAGCUGUGAUAAUUGUUACACAUGUCGUUAUUUUGCAUGAUGUUACAAAUAAGGUAUGCUAUCUGUAAUUAUUCCAACACAAUUAUACCGUUGAAACUUUACGUUUGCCGUAAUUGAAAUGCCAAAAUACUGCGCUGUUAACCAUUUUUUACUGUUUUGUUUAAGUUUGACCCUUUCUAGCCAUCUUGUUAAUCAAUUUUCGAAAAUUGGUGAAUUAUUUAUAUAGGACAAGACACAAAAGUUGAACAAAUUCGCAUUAUUUUCUUACUCGCGGAAGUCGAGUAAAUAAACCGUUCGCAAAAAUAAGUUGGUUUUAUAGUAUGUGUAAAAUUCAAUAGUCUCAUUGUUGCUGUCUGUCGUAUUUAUUUUUCGUUUGAUGUUUGACCAUGAUCAGACCAAUGGUUUUCAAUUUUGAAUCACUCCACCUUUUGUAACAUUAUAUAUGUCCCAUAAAAUCAUUUACAAUAUCUAUAGCAAAUUACGGUAAGGGACCAAGACCCUCCUGAUUUUAAAAUACUUUCCAAGCAAUAUUACAAAAGAAAAGUGCAAGUGGAAAAUAGGAAGGAAAAGGUACCCUAAUAAUAAAAGAAAAGAAAAAAAAAACAGAAGUGAAAAAAAAAAAAAAAACACUUGGAGAAAAAAAAACGGAAUUAAAAAACCAACAAAAAUGACACACAAAUGUUGAAGUUCAGAAAAAAACUACUGGGAAAAACCCAUAAAACCUGUGGUGAACAUAAGUGCUCCGGAAAAGUCAUAAUUUCUGUUCUAUUGUUUGAAUCGUCUUGAUAAUCUUGGCAAGUUAAAUUUCACAGAUAAGUUGAACUCGGUCACUCGGUGUCACUGGAAAAAGGGGAACUUUAGUGUGACAGAGACUAGUGUAUGAUAUCAAGAACACUCUAUGAAACAGAUGUUAAAUAACAGUCAGGCAAAUCAUGACGACGAUCGUAAAAUUUUCGAAAUGGAGACAUAAUGUAUACUGCAUUGUUGUCAAUAAUAAUAUUUACUUAUUUGAAUAUAAGUCAAAUAAACUGAAUAAAAGAUUUUUACAUGAAGAGAUUACCUACCGAUUUAGAAAAAUGCAUGGUAAAAUUAUAAUUUUCCAACAUUAAAAAAUAGCAUCCUAAAAUGUAAAUGUGCCUUCUUUCAAAUACGAUUUUAUUUACUUUUUAAUUUGAUUUCAUCGGUAAUUCUUACAUCAUCAUUAUUAAAUGGUCCUUUCAUCUAAAACCAUUAGCAGUGGUUGACAAUGAAUUAUUUUGAAAGCUUCCACAUUAAGUAAACAUAUAAUUAAUAUUAUAGGUAAUGAUCAUAAUUAAUUGAAAAUUUGUAUACAAAAACACUAUAUAUCAUAACCAAUAGAGAUAUGAUAUCCGUAUUUUCAGAUAUUUGCAACAUGUGGAAUCAAGAAAUUAUAUUGUACAUUUAUUCUGCCUUUCUUGCUGGUUUAGGAGUUUCUAUUGAGCUAUAUGUGACACUAGGCUCAACAGCAGAAUUAAACUGUCCAUUCAAGAAAACCACAGAUGCUAUAAUAUGGAGAGGGCCGCAACAACUCUCUACCUAUGCCAUUAACAACAAAGUUAACAUUGACAUCCCUCAUUCAAGUAGAAUAAAGAUAUCUGGCAAUUUUACAGCCGGUGAAUACAUUUUAAAGCUACAUAACUUCACAAAAGAUAACGAAGGAACUUAUCAAUGUGAUACCAUUAACAACAACACGGCAGUGAAGUUCAAGAUCGUAAUGAAAAUAGCAGAUACUUAUAUAGAUGGUGUUUCGUCAGUUGAACAACACACCACAGAAUUUCCAGAUGUUAGAAUAGAGAAUAGAAAUAUCUUUUGUGACAUGUGUUCAACAAUCAAUCUAACAUGCCAGACAACUUCGGAUAUAGCUUUGAUAUUUGAAAGUAUCUGGGUUCAUACCUAUAACAACGUCAUUAUCGACAAAAUGGCUGGUCAAGUAAUUGGCACAUUUUCAGUAGUUUCUAUACCAUUUUGCGCCUUAAAGGAUUCUGGAAAUUAAUCUUGUUAUUGGUUCAAUAAAACAGCAGAAUAUUUUGCUCAAACAACAGUACAUGUAAGAAGCCGACCUGUUUUCACUGAAAAGAAAGUAAUGAAUCACGGGAACAACAUAUUUUUGGAAGUAAAGUUUUAUUCUGAUCCGAAACCUGAUAUGGUUUUUUGGUAUUACAAUGACAACAACAUAACAUCUGAAGAUAAGUAUGAAAGACUUGUGGAAACUACCACUAUAAAGCUCACUAUUAAAAAACAAAAUAUAACGGCCAAUGGGUUUGUUGCCAUAUUGAUUAUAAAAAACUUCACAGCAUCUGAUAUAGCUGUGUAUAGAUGUUGCGUCAAAAAUGCAAUAGACGUCAUUGAUGUUCACUUUAACAAGUACACAAUAGUUGAAGUCUUGCCGGAAAGAAAUGGGAACGAAACACACGCGAUGACAGGUUAGUUUAAACAUUCAAAUGAUGUUUUCGUAAUAGAAAAUAUUGAAAAUACAAAAAUAAAGGAAUGUGAUAAGGCAAUAAUUCGUAUUUCAGAUGAUGUAUUGUUUUUCUAAAAGUGGAUAUAAAACAUAAGCAUGGAAAUGUAGGACACGGUUAAUACUUCCGGCAUUCUAAGAAAACCUAGAAAAAAGUAAAAUCACAAAAAUACUGAACUCCGAGGAAAAUUCAAAACGGAAAGUUAUGGUUAUUGCUAACUUUUCGACCAUUUAUAUCCAUUCAAUAUCCUCUCCUUUCAAUUUUAUGAUCAGAACUUACACAUGUUAUUAUACUGCUAUACAAGCAAAAUUCAAAAUGUUGUAGUACCAAUGCAAGUGCGUCAAUAAAAAGUCAUCGUAUACGAUUUCAAUGUCACUUUCAGUAGCAAGUGUCUACACAAAGAUCGUGUCAAUACUAGAAAUACUAAUAAAAGUUAGAUCGUCAUUUGUAGGUAUGUCAGGUCUGUGACAAUAAACAAAUAAAAGAAACAAAGAAAACUUGAACUUCUAUUAUUCAAUCUACAAAAUUAAGACGACGUUAUUAUUUGGACAGUUGUUUAUUGAAAUAUUGAAUUUUAAUCGCCAUAUUCUUCUUUUCGCAAAAUGUGAAAAUGGCGACCGCCAGCGGAAACCUUGAUCUUAUACGAUUCCAAUGUCACUGUCAGUAGCAAGUGUCUACACUAGGAUCUACACUAUACUAGAAAUACUAAAGUCAGAUCGUCAUUUGUGGAUAUGUCAGGUCUGUGACAAUAAACAAACGAAAAAAGGAAAAUGUACAAACAUGUAGUCCGUUGUUGUUGACUUCUUCAUUUUUAAAUAUGGAAAUGUAAAACAAAAAACACUUGAAUUAAUAUUAUUCAAUCAACAACAUUCAUAUAAUGUUUAAUGUACAUAUAUUUUGUUUUAGAACUAAACGUUAUUAUUUGGACAGUUGUUUAUACUGCUAUCAGUAGUGCCGUAGCUCUUUUAGCAGUGAUCACAGUCAUGAUUGUUCGAAGAGGACAAACAGUAAAGAUAAACCAAACAAUGAUAGUAAAUGAUACCAGAAUGCAACAGGUCAAUGCAAGAUUAAGUCUUGAGCAACGAAGUACAUCACAUGACAGUAUCAAUUCCAAUCGGGAAUAUGAGGAUAUUGAUAGUGUAAUUUCAAAUACAGAUAACCACCACAACAUACUAGUAGACACUUCGUACGUUAAUGAAAUAAUGAAUGAUAGUUUACACGAAUAUUACAAUGAAAUAUCUAAUGAGUAUGUUGAUCUGAAUACUAAUAGGGAACUACACACUUAUUGGACAUAUGAUGGAGAAUAUCAAUAUUUAUAGUUACAUGUAUGUCGUAAUUCAAAUGUUCAAAUACUUAAAACAUAUUUGAUAUAUGUUUCCUGAAAUGAAACCUUGUAAUUUUCAGGUAUUUUGUGAAAGAUCAAACAAUAUUAAUUAAAAUUUUAUGAAUAACAUUAACAGUACCGGUUAUACUACACCUGAUGCGCAUUUUGACAAUAAAUGUCUCUUUAGUGAUGCUUAAGAUUAAUAUAUUUGAAAAAUCAAAACCUUAUGAAAUAAUUCUGGGUUGAGUGUAACUUACGUAUUAAGGGGGCUCGAGGGUACAAAUCCAUUAAAAAAAAGAAGGAUUUCGCUAUUUUUUUCUAUAAAUGAACUUUAUCAUAUAGUUUACAGAAAAAUAAAAUAAAAAAAUGGGGUCACCAUUCAUCUAAGCUCACAAUCUGACUUCAAAAGAAGCAUGCAUUUUUGUUAAGGUAUUUUUUUCCUGUUGAACUAAUAGGAGAAAUAGAGGUAAUAUCGAAAUUAAAAAGAACUAAAUUACAGAAAUCGCUUACUUAUAUUUUACAAUUGUUUAGUUUAAGUACAGCUUAUUUGAAAAAAAAAAUAUAGGUCACCGAUGAGUUAAGAAAGAUAUUUCAAUUUUUAAUGCAAAAAUUGGCUUUUUUGCACAAAGGGAGAUAACUUGGAGCUUUUUCAAUGAUAUAAACAUUUCAAAAGUCAUCUGGGGCCAAACCGAAUUGAUUUUUGAGGUUGAUUUUUUGUAUAAUAAAUAAAGACAAACUUGCAUCUAACAUAAUUCAAAUAUUUUCGACACAUUUUUUUUUUUGGGGGGGGGG
Molecule: long non-coding RNA, 4680 nt
Organism: Mytilus californianus (California mussel)
Lineage: Eukaryota; Metazoa; Mollusca; Bivalvia; Mytilida; Mytilidae
Exons: 7
Source: RefSeq, a predicted model, not a curated record